CAAUUUAACACCUGAUUUUACAUUACAGGCCAAACAGGCUGGACAUGUUUAUCUGCCUGUGCACAUCCUGGAAACACUCUAGGCCGCCAAGUCAUCCAGAUCGUGUGGAGGUCAGUCAUAAUCUGACAUUCAACUCCGGAUGAAGGAAUCGUUCCAGGCCAUUCAAAUUGGCUGUUUGAAAGAUUUCUGUGUCGAGGUCAAUGCUUUGACACAAUUCUAUCUCUGAGGUCUGCGGGAAGUUCCUUGGACGCCAGUGGUCGCCAAUCAAGAGACAUCUCAAGGAUAAUCAAAGGAAACAGGGUGCAUUAGAGCUCAAUUCGGAGUGUCAUGGCUAAGAGAAUACUUACUGGAUAUACAUCAGAUAUUUCGGUUGAUAAUUUGUAAAACAUUGUCACAAAUGUCCAGAAAAAAGAUUUUGCUUUGUCGUUUUGGUGUACUGUGUGUAGAUUGAUGGCAAACAAAAUUUGACUAUUCAAUUAGAAAUUAAGUUUAUUACACAACAAAAUUGAAGAAAGUGAAGGGUUCUUAAUCCUUUCCAAAGCCACAGACAAUAUUUAGUUUAUGUUUAUUUCAGAAUGUGGCACAUUUUAACCUCAAUAUGUAUAUAGUGCAUCAUAGUUUCACCACCUCAUGCAUUAGUUACGGAAUAUUAUCAAGCCGGUUCUCCAAAGGUUAGGUAGAAAUUUCAACUAUAUAUGACUCUAAAAAUAAUUUCAG
Molecule: long non-coding RNA, 717 nt
Organism: Esox lucius (northern pike)
Lineage: Eukaryota; Metazoa; Chordata; Actinopteri; Esociformes; Esocidae
Source: Ensembl